This is a long non-coding RNA of Bubalus bubalis (water buffalo), 990 nucleotides long. RefSeq lists it as uncharacterized. The transcript has 2 exons. The record is from RefSeq and is a predicted model, not a curated record. Lineage: Eukaryota; Metazoa; Chordata; Mammalia; Artiodactyla; Bovidae.
CAUUUCCAUACAUGGAAGAGAUUUUUCUACCUCAUGCUCUGGGAGAGAAAAUUAUUAGAAUGUUUAUGGCUUUUCUUACUCCCUCUAGCUCCCCAGUUCUUCCCCAAAGGAAGACAGGUGACCUAUCUAAUUGGUAUAUUUAAGAGCGAGAACGGAACAAGCUUGGUUUCACCUCCUCUGGCUUUUUCAUCUGGGUCAGCAGGUGUUCGGAGGUGUUUGUCUUGAAAACAAAUGAGUAUAUAUGCUCUUUGAGAAGGCCUGAGGCUUCCUUCUCUGCUCAGAACUUGGUAGGUUGGGCUCAACAAUCCAGGGGUGAACUUUCAAAAGCCUCUUGUGACCACAGAGCUAAGUGCAUGUCCAUUCAGCUUUGUCCAGAAUUAAGCUAGCAGGGUUAGAUUUUUGUAUCACUCUAACUGGAGUGCUUAGCUCUUAGUCGAUUCUAAUGCAGGAGGAGAAAAAGAGAGCGCUGUUUCUUGGUUCCCUGAACCUACCAAAAUCUUGGACUUUAGCCUGCAGUUUUGAAAUGCUGGCAUUUCGGGAGCAAGUUGGCACAGAUUUAAGGCUGCUGAUAUAACUGAAAAUGAUGACUUCAGACUUGGGAUUUGGGCAUGAAGACCCACGACCGCCCACUUUGACAGAUGAGAAAACUGAUACGGCUUUACUUCACUGAGACAAAUGCUGUGGCUGCGCCACUGGGAGCCUCCUGAAGUCCCUCCCCCGAAGAAAGCUUCGUGGCCACAGUUUAUACCACAUUCCCACAGAUCAGCCAUCUUUCUCUGACUAGUUGCUGGGAGACUAUAAUGAUCUGCUCCUCCCCCAGCAGAUUUGGGGCAUCACUGAAAGGCUGCUUUGGCUCCAAAAUUCCCCAAGGGAUUAGAAGGGCCUUUGUUGUAAUCACUGUACUAUUUAACUCCUCCCUUUGCCCAAUCUUGUUUGCAUUCCCAGCAUGGGUAUUGAUCAAGAGUACUCGUCAGUAAACAUUCAUACAAA